GACGAACGCUGGCGGCGUGCCUAAUACAUGCAAGUAGAACGCUGAAGGAGGAGCUUGCUUCUCCGGAUGAGUUGCGAACGGGUGAGUAACGCGUAGGUAACCUGCCUGGUAGCGGGGGAUAACUAUUGGAAACGAUAGCUAAUACCGCAUAACAGUAGAUGUUGCAUGACAUUUGCUUAAAAGGUGCAAUUGCAUCACUACCAGAUGGAACUGCGUUGUAUUAGCUAGUUGGUGAGGUAACGGCUCACCAAGGCGACGAUACAUAGCCGACCUGAGAGGGUGAUCGGCCACACUGGGACUGAGACACGGCCCAGACUCCUACGGGAGGCAGCAGUAGGGAAUCUUCGGCAAUGGACGGAAGUCUGACCGAGCAACGCCGCGUGAGUGAAGAAGGUUUUCGGAUCGUAAAGCUCUGUUGUAAGAGAAGAACGAGUGUGAGAGUGGAAAGUUCACACUGUGACGGUAUCUUACCAGAAAGGGACGGCUAACUACGUG
RNAcentral lists this ribosomal RNA (495 nucleotides) under uncultured bacterium. RNAcentral describes it as "partial 16S ribosomal RNA". It matches the Rfam family "Bacterial small subunit ribosomal RNA", at positions 28 to 507 of the family's 1533-position model. The record is from RNAcentral.